GACGAACGCUGGCGGCGUGCUUAACACAUGCAAGUCGAACGGAAAGGCCCUGCUUUUGUGGGGUGCUCGAGUGGCGAACGGGUGAGUAACACGUGAGUAACCUGCCCUUGACUUUGGGAUAACUUCAGGAAACUGGGGCUAAUACCGGAUCGGAGCUCCUGCUGCAUGGUGGGGGUUGGAAAGAUUCGGCGGUUGGGGAUGGACUCGCGGCUUAUCAGCUUGUUGGUGGGGUAGUGGCUUACCAAGGCUUUGACGGGUAGCCGGCCUGAGAGGGUGACCGGCCACAUUGGGACUGAGAUACGGCCCAGACUCCUACGGGAGGCAGCAGUGGGGAAUAUUGCACAAUGGGCGGAAGCCUGAUGCAGCAACGCCGCGUGCGGGAUGACGGCCUUCGGGUUGUAAACCGCUUUCGCCUGUGACGAAGCGUGAGUGACGGUAAUGGGUAAAGAAGCACCGGCUAACUACGUG
Molecule: ribosomal RNA, 468 nt
Filed under: uncultured bacterium
Lineage: Bacteria
Description: partial 16S ribosomal RNA
Rfam family: Bacterial small subunit ribosomal RNA
Source: RNAcentral